Molecule: ribosomal RNA, 472 nt
Filed under: uncultured bacterium
Lineage: Bacteria
Description: bacterial SSU rRNA
Rfam family: Bacterial small subunit ribosomal RNA
Source: RNAcentral
CCCUUAGAGUUUGAUCCUGGCUCAGGAUGAACGCUAGCGACAGGCCUAACACAUGCAAGUCGAGGGGCAUCAUGAUCCGUAGCAAUACGGGUUGAUGGCGACCGGCGCACGGGUGAGUAACGCGUAUGUAAUCUGCCUGUAACAGAGGGAUAACCCGGAGAAAUCCGGACUAAUACCUCAUAAUACACAGGAUUCGCAUGAGUUCUAUGUUAAAGGGAAUCGGUUACAGAUGAACAUGCGUUCCAUUAGUUGGUUGGCGGGGUAACGGCCCACCAAGGCUACGAUGGAUAGGGGUUCUGAGAGGAAGGUCCCCCACACUGGUACUGAGACACGGACCAGACUCCUACGGGAGGCAGCAGUGAGGAAUAUUGGUCAAUGGGCGGAAGCCUGAACCAGCCAAGUCGCGUGGAGGAAGACGGCCCUACGGGUUGUAAACUCCUUUUACCUGGGAAUAACGGGCGCUACGCGUAGC